CGCCGCGUGGGGGAUGACGGCCUUCGGGUUGUAAACCUCUUUCAGCAGGGACGAAGCGUAAGUGACGGUACCUGCAGAAGAAGCACCGGCCAACUACGUGCCAGCAGCCGCGGUAAUACGUAGGGUGCAAGCGUUGUCCGGAAUUAUUGGGCGUAAAGAGCUCGUAGGCGGUCUGUCGCGUCGGCUGUGAAAAUCCGGGGCUCAACCCCGGACUUGCAGUGGGUACGGGCAGACUAGAGUGUGGUAGGGGAGACUGGAGUUCCUGGUGUAGCGGUGAAAUGCGCAGAUAUCAGGAGGAACACCGAUGGCGAAGGCAGGUCUCUGGGCCACUACUGACGCUGAGAAGCGAAAGCAUGGGGAGCGAACAGGAUUAGAUACCCUGGUAGUCCAUGCCGUAAACGUUGGGAACUAGGUGUGGGUCUCAUUCCACGAGAUCCGUGCCGCAGCUAACGCAUUAAGUUCCCCGCCUGGGGAGUACGGCCGCAAGGCUAAAACUCAAAGGAAUUGACGGGGGCCCGCACAAGCGGCGGAGCAUGCGGAUUAAUUCGAUGCAACGCGAAGAACCUUACCAAGGCUUGACAUAUGCGAGAACGCGGCAGAGAUGUCGUUCUCUUUGGACACUCGCAUACAGGUGGUGCAUGGUUGUCGUCAGCUCGUGUCGUGAGAUGUUGGGUUAAGUCCCGCAACGAGCGCAACCCUCGUUCUAUGUU
This 710-nucleotide ribosomal RNA is filed under the name uncultured bacterium. Its description in RNAcentral is "bacterial SSU rRNA". It matches the Rfam family "Bacterial small subunit ribosomal RNA", at positions 395 to 1116 of the family's 1533-position model. The record is from RNAcentral.